GAGUUUGAUCCUGGCUCAGGACGAACGCUGGCGGCGCGCCUAAUGCAUGCAAGUCGAACGGCGCCUUUCGCCUUCGGGCGGUUGGCGUAGUGGCAAACGGCUGAGUAACGCGUAAGGGACCUGACCCUGGGAGGGGGAUAACCCACCGAAAGGUGGGCUAAUACCCCGUACGUUGGCUCUUUGACAUGGAGAGUCAGGAAAGCCUCGGCGCAAGCCGUGGCGCCCGGGGAGGGCCUUGCGUCCUAUCAGGUAGUUGGCGGGGUAACGGCCCACCAAGCCUAAGACGGGUAACCGGUGUGAGAGCAUGAACGGUCAGAGGGGGACUGAGACACGGCCCCCACUCCUACGGGAGGCAGCAGCAGGGAAUUUUGCGCAAUGGGCGAAAGCCUGACGCAGCGACGCCGCGUGGGGGAAGAAGGCCUUCGGGUUGUAAACCCCUUUUCUGGGGGAAGAGCAAGGACGGUACCCCAGGAAUAAGCCCCGGCUAACUACGUGCCAGCAGCCGCGGUAAUACGUAGGGGGCGAGCGUUGUCCGGAAUUACUGGGCGUAAAGGGCGCGUAGGCGGCACAAGAAGUCUCCGGUGAAAUCUCCCGGCUUAACUGGGAGCGGUCCGGGGAAACUCUUGAGCUGGAGGACAGCAGAGGAGGGUGGAAUUCCCGGUGUAGUGGUGAAAUGCGUAGAUAUCGGGAGGAACACCAGUGGCGAAGGCGGCCCUCUGGGCUGUACCUGACGCUGAGGCGCGAAAGCGUGGGGAGCGAACCGGAUUAGAUACCCUGGUAGUC
RNAcentral lists this ribosomal RNA (783 nucleotides) under uncultured bacterium. RNAcentral describes it as "bacterial SSU rRNA". It matches the Rfam family "Bacterial small subunit ribosomal RNA", at positions 9 to 795 of the family's 1533-position model. The record is from RNAcentral.